GAUGAACGCUGGCGGCGUGCCUAAUACAUGCAAGUCGAGCGAAUGGAUUAAGAGCUUGCUCUUAUGAAGUUAGCGGCGGACGGGUGAGUAACACGUGGGUAACCUGCCCAUAAGACUGGGAUAACUCCGGGAAACCGGGGCUAAUACCGGAUAACAUUUUGAACCGCAUGGUUCGAAAUUGAAAGGCGGCUUCGGCUGUCACUUAUGGAUGGACCCGCGUCGCAUUAGCUAGUUGGUGAGGUAACGGCUCACCAAGGCAACGAUGCGUAGCCGACCUGAGAGGGUGAUCGGCCCCACUGGGACUGAGACACCGCCCAGACUCCUACGGGAGGCAGCAGUAGGGAAUCUUCCGCAAUGGACGAAAGUCUGACGGAGCAACGCCGCGUGAGUGAUGAAGGCUUUCGGGUCGUAAAACUCUGUUGUUAGGGAAGAACAAGUGCUAGUUGAAUAAGCUGGCACCUUGACGGUACCUAACCAGAAAGCCACGGCUAACUACGUGCCAGCAGCCGCAGUAA
RNAcentral lists this ribosomal RNA (515 nucleotides) under uncultured bacterium. Its description in RNAcentral is "partial 16S ribosomal RNA". It matches the Rfam family "Bacterial small subunit ribosomal RNA", at positions 28 to 523 of the family's 1533-position model. The record is from RNAcentral.